This 114-nucleotide small nuclear RNA is filed under the name Esox lucius (northern pike). The record is from RNAcentral. Lineage: Eukaryota; Metazoa; Chordata; Actinopteri; Esociformes; Esocidae.
GUGCUCGCUUCGGGCAAUCACAUAUACUAAAUUGGAUCACGAUACAGGAAGAUUAGCAUGGCCCCUGCGGAAAGGACUGACACGCAAAUCCUGUGUGAAGCGUACCAUAUUUUC